This 494-nucleotide ribosomal RNA is filed under the name uncultured bacterium. Its description in RNAcentral is "bacterial SSU rRNA". It matches the Rfam family "Bacterial small subunit ribosomal RNA", at positions 903 to 1397 of the family's 1533-position model. The record is from RNAcentral.
AAAUGAAUAGACGGGGGCCCGCACAAGCGGUGGAGCAUGUGGCUUAAUUCGAGGCAACGCGAAGAACCUUACCCGGGCUUGAAAUAUAACGGCUCGCCGGUGAAAGCCGGUUUUCCUUCGGGACUGUUAUACAGGUGCUGCAUGGCUGUCGUCAGCUCGUGCCGUGAGGUGUUCGGUUAAGUCCGGCAACGAGCGCAACCCGUGUCAUCAGUUGCCAACAGGUAAUGCUGGGGACUCUGAUGAGACUGCCCGUGUUAAGCGGGAGGAAGGCGCGGAUGACGUCAAGUCAGUAUGGCCCUUAUGUCCGGGGCUGCACACGUGCUACAAUGGUCGGUACAAUGAGACGCGAAGUCGCGAGGCGGAGCAAAUCUAUAAAACCGGCCUUAGUUCAGAUUGCAGUCUGCAACUCGACUGCAUGAAGUUGGAAUCGCUAGUAAAGGCGUAUCAGCUACGACGCCUUGAAUACGUUCCCGGGCCUUGUACACACCGCCCGU